Molecule: long non-coding RNA, 8077 nt
Organism: Parus major (Great Tit)
Lineage: Eukaryota; Metazoa; Chordata; Aves; Passeriformes; Paridae
Exons: 3
Source: RefSeq, a predicted model, not a curated record
CUCUUCCCGGGAGCAAUUGGCAGAAGUGUUUUUAACGCGGAGAGCUGCCCUUCUGCUUUCUCCGCGGGCGAGGGCUCAGCGCAACACUCGGACAACCAGAGAGCGCAGCCAGCACCCCGGGAUUAACCCGCACCCUCCAGGAGCGGCACCGGGGAAGUCGGCGGGGAGGGGAGCGGGACGCUGCCGGGUCCCGCGAGGCGGGACGGGCCGAUCAAGUGCGGCGGGCCCCUCCCGCUCCGCUCCGCUCCCCGCGGAGGGAGCGGCGGCCGCGCUGCUCCUAACGCGGCCUGACAGGCGCGGCCGCCCCGCCGCUCCCCCCGCACCGCCCGCGCUGACAUCACCGGCCAGGAUUUAAAUAGCUCCGCAGCCGCUGCCUCCCGGAUACAGCGCUCCCCAUUGGUCGCCGCCGCAGCCAAUGGCCGCGCCGCGCCGCUGAGCUCCGCCAAUGGCGGGGCCGCGGCCGGCGCGCGCCUCCCCUGUCGCUAAGGGAGGGAAAUACAGCGCGCGCGGCGGGCUGUCAGCUCUCCGGCGGCCGCGUCUCCCGAGCGGUGAAAUGCAGGACGAGCGGCCCCGCCGUGCUGUUUUCUCCUCGGGGAGAGCUCGAAACGAGAGAGAAAGAGAGAGAGAGAGAGCGAGAGAGCGAUCGGUGGUGACUCGGGGGCUGGCCGGGCUCCUGCUGGGGCUCGGCGGCCGCAGACAGUGGAUUUGUGGGAAGAGGACGGGAUGAGAAAUAAACGCACCUGGCCAGCGGUGUUUAGGGGAGCGGGGGCCGGGUGCCCCCGCUGGCUGCCGGAGCCCCUGGACUCCGGACGCGGACCCGCCGAGCUGCAAUGGACGCUGCCCGCCGCUGGCCGCAGAGCGGAGCAUCCCCGCCGCCGCCGCCGCCGAGGAGGGAGAGCUGCCCGCCCGGAGCCGGCCCGCAGCGCGCCCCUCGCCCCAAGAGGGACCCGGAGUUUCCUCUUCGGCAUCGCUCCGGUGACCGCGGGCUGUGCCAGCCGGCCGCCCAGAUAGGUUGCGUGGCAGCCACGGCGCGAGCGAAUAGAACUCCUUGGAUGUGUCGGAAGUAAGCGCCGGGAGCAUUUGGUGAUCUUUGUGGGAGGAAGGCACAAGCCACCCAGGCCCUGUUCCCUCCAUCUUGAGCCUUCCAUGGUGAUUUGCAGCAGCACAGGGAAGUAUGAAGCACUGAGGGACAGAAGUCAGUGUUUAAACCUGACUUCACUUCAGCAUUAACGACCACGCAAGUUUCACAUAACAGAGGACCAGGGCUAGCAUAGCAGAAGUACUUAAGGUGCCUCUUUUAAAAGUUCUCUUUUGCAUAUCUAAAGAUUAGGGAGCUGUUUAGAAAAGAUGAUUAUACAAGUGUUUUAAUUUACUGUCCUAACAGAGGAUGAUGAUCCGCAUUAUCUUACAUGCAUCUUCGGUGAAUCUGUAUCACCAUAUAGAUUUCAGGGGAGCUGUAUUUAUUUAAGUUAGUAAAGAAACCCAGUGAAGUUUUAAAUAAUUGGAAUAAUAUUCUCCCUCUCUUUCAGUCAGAUUUGCCCUUCAUGUUACUUGUGUUUCAUAAUCCUCCUAGUCCUCCAUUUCGUCAUUACAAGACCAGCAUCUCUACUGUAAAAAAAAAAAAAAGAGAGGACAACCCCCCCCCCCAGAAGAAAAAAAGGUCUUUUUACAAUCUUCUUAUAAUUUACAAUUAUAUCAAUGUUUAAAUAAAUUUAGGGCACAAACUGAUCCUAGUUUUUUAAUAGGCCUAUUUAGUUUCAUUUACUUACACAGGUAUUUUUUUGGAACCAGAAGCUCUCAGGAAGAGAAUGUGUUCAAUGCAGCAAUACCCUUUAGGGUUUUGAUAAAAGACAUGAUAUCAUGAGUAUCAUCACCACUUCUGUUAUUCUUCUUAUAUAGUAGCGACAAGAUUGAGUCACCAUUUUUAGCUAUUCUUCAGCAGAACUCGUAAUCUAUCAAUGUGUCAGCUCAACAGCAGUUUUCUCUUCACACUAAUGUGAACCAGAAGGUCCAGCUAUCACUGAUUUUGACAAUUUUAUUUUAUCUGAGAUUGCAUGUAUUGCAGAAGUUUUAAGCAGAUGAAUUAUAGGGCCUGUUAUAUUUUCCUAAAGAUGUACAAAACAUAGAAUACAUCACCUAAAACAUUUCAAACUAAUUUGUACCUGAUAACAUUCCUAUGUUUGGUGUUUCAUAAGCCUUACGAUAGAAGCACUGUGGAAUAUUUGUCUGAUAAAUAACAAGAAUGAGAUCAAAUGUGGGUUCUGUAGUUUUUUUGAAUGCCUCACAUUGCCCUCUCUGUUGUUACAUAAUGCAUCAUAAAGAAAUACGUGCCUUCAUUCUCUUUAAAUCACUCCGGCAUGGAUGGUACUAAGCCUUCCUUCAAGUCCUCGUUAUGCAAGUCCUUGCUACUGCUAAUAGCUGUCAGGUCUGCAUGGUUACUUAAAAAACAAGGUAACUGCAGACUUUUUGUGAAGCUCCUUACAUUUCUGGAAUUUUCAGUGAGGUGAUUCCAGGUGUGUUGCUCUCUUUCUCAGCUAUAAACUAAAUUAUUAUGAACAAACAGGUUUUCCCUCGUUAGAAUAAAGUCCCAUUCAUUCCAGUACAUCAGAAGGUAACCAGUUUUUUUGUUGAGUUGCCUCUACAAGCAUGUUACAAGUAUCUGAUGCACUUCAGUGUCAAAACAGUGAAAUAGACCAGAAUGCAGUAAUAUUUUGAACGUCUGUUGGAGAAUGCAGGCAUAUAACUAAGUACUGUAAAAAUACAUAGCACAGUGAAAAAUCCAUGACCAAUCUAGUAAAGCUAUUAGGUAACAAAAAAAAUCCAUAUGGGCAUUAAGUACUAUUAUUUAAAGUAAAAUCUGUGUUAUACAGUACAAGCAGCAUUCAAGUGAAAUUGAUGAGACAUCUCUAUAGAACAGAAAGAAUCAUUUUUUAAAGCUAUGAUACGACGUUCUGUAUUUACUUGGAAAGUGGAAUUUUACUUGUGGUUUUGUAAAGGUAUAAAAUUAACAACAAGCACUUCAGAGAAUUAGGAGCACUACCUGAUUUGUGGGAUUUUUUUUCCCCCUCUAUAAAACACAGAGAUCAUUGGCAGGAAAAAAUCAGGAAAAACCUGUCUGGGUUUUCCAAUAUCAUGUAGAUCUUUUUGAGUACCCUGUCCUUUAACAUAGUCUUGGUUUUAAAGAGACUGAAAUAGGAAUAUCUCAAAAUUCAUCGUACUGACUAUAUAUGAAAAAAUUUUGCUUUUCUUUUAUACUGGUAGAAUAUGCAAGUACUAAUUCAGCAGUCACCAGGAAAGGAGGGUUUGUUUCAUAUUCCGUUAGUAGAUCUAUUAAUUUAACAAUCCUUUAUUGCAUUUCUACAGUUUUUUUACCUUUUCAUUGCUUUUGUAAAUUUGAGGUACUAACUUAUUUGUUUAUUUCCAUUUUCCUACUUCUAAUUAUUUUGAAAGGUUCAAUUAUAAUCUCUUCAGGUCUUGGAGUGACACAUGGAAAAUAUAUUUUUUUCAUUCCUUUUGCAAGCAGUAGGUUGGUGGGAGGAGGUCUGCACUGUAAAAUAGUGUACCUAUGAAAUUGUACUCCAGUGGGAGAUUAAAUAAGAAAGAGCAGGAUGACUGAGACAAGUCAUUUGUCACAGAUGUUCAUGCAGUUCUGGUGUUUUAUUUUAAGCUGGAUUCAUCAAAUGUGCUAAGGAGUAAUUUCUGUCUGAUAUGAAGUUCCCAUCAAAGGAGACUGAGUGGUUUAAGUUUAAACCGUGGUUUGAAAAUACAGGGAAAUGUUACUGGACCGGUGACGGUUUGAUUCAGUAGCCAAAGUGGACACAAGGAAGUAAAUUGAAGAAUACUAUUUUUGGCCAAAAUACGUCAGGAAGAUACAUCACUAAUAUAUUACUGUGGAACAGUGACUUUACCUUUUAGAAGAUGGUUUUAUCUAUGCAGCACAAAGAUUUUACUGCAGGCAUCUGAAUUAUGUAGAUUAUAAAGGGUACCGAUGCCGUUGGAAGGCAAGCAUGAAAUGGUGAUGUGUGAAUCUCAGAUAUUUGAGCAUUUACUGUAUUUGAGCAAUAUUUGCUGACCACUUUUACAGUAUUUUGCAAGUUUAUAAUAUAGGUUUAGUAUUAGUUUUAUUUAGUGAAAAUGGGGGAGGUAAGCAGUACUGUAAUACUGAUUUCGGGUUUUUUUGAUAGGCCAGUUAUCAUAUUUAGCAAAGUACAACAUGAAUGAGAAGGCCCAGAACUAAGAUUACUUUAAACGGGAGAUUUUUUUUAAAAAAUCAGUAUUGGACUUACUUUUAUUUUGUAUUAGUUGCUCUCUCUUUUAAUAUAAUUUUCUCUUUUGUUAAGUUCCAUCUUUGUUCCUUCAGAAAUACUGUGUCCCGGCCCCAAAAGGGAGAAAUAUAAUGGCUACAAUUAGUUUCUGUUUACUGGAGCAAAAUUAUUUUUUCCCAAACUGAAAUACAUGCAUUAAUUUGCUAGACUUCCAGCAAUUUUUACGUGUGAUAUUUCUGAGAAAGAGAUCGUAAUGUCCAUUUUAAUGCAGCUUACCACAGUAUAGCAGCCGUAAUCGAGCGUUUUUCUCUUUGAUAGUCGGAUAUACAGAAUUGUCAGGCUGUUUGCUUUUAGGUACCUGAAAAGUGAAUUGGAAGAAAGUAUUUUUGAUAUGAUAAGUUUGGCUUUCUAGUCUGUACUUUCUUUUGAAUUUUCUAGGUAAAUGCUGCGCAGAUUGAUUAUCAGAAAAAUUGAGGCUUACGUAACCGGGACAUACAUUUUUCUACUGUCUCCCCCCGACUUAGCUUUCAUUUUACUAUGAAAAAUGAAAAAUUUUGAAAAGAAAAUUACUAUGACAUACUGAUUAUACACACUUUUUCACAGAACUGCACAGCUAAGCUGUUUGUAUUUAUUUAGUAAAAGAAAGCAGCAAGCAAAAUAUUAAAACCUUGAGACGGCUAAACUUUAAAAUUAUAGUCGUCAUUAAAUACAGCUUUAUCUAAUAUGCUGUACCUAGCUGUGUAGCAAUGAGUCUUUUUUCUUUGCAUAGGGAAUUAGAAUACUUCUAUAUAGUCUUUAUUCAGAAUAAGAAAAAUAAGAAUGUUGUACCCCAUUUUUUAUUCGUCGUAAAGCUGAUGUUUCUUCGUAAGAAACUUGAUUUAAUACCUAACUUUCAAAGGAUGAUUUUCACUGAUCGUUGUUGGCAAAAUAUAAGCAAAUGAAUCAGAACUCUGUCCUGGCAGAUAAUUACAAACUGAAUUAACUAAAAAGAAUAAUAUUAAAAUUUUAUCUAAAUAUGUUAACGUGAGCUCUUACCCAUAGGUGGCAGUCAUCUUUCACUGUAGCAGGGAUGCCAAACUUUUGGUUCACAGUAUUCACGCUUACACUGAAAUAAUUUUGAUGAGGUAUGCGUAUGUACAUAAAAAUAUAUAUGUCUGCAUUUUGAGAAAGGGGGAAGAAGGUGAAAUUAACCAUUAAAUUAGUUCGUAAUUAGGAGGAAUCUGAAUUGCUAUGUAUAAGCAAUAAGAUAAGGAAUUAUCGUAUUCUGGAGAAAAGGUCGAGGUAUUUAUAAAAACACAUUUUUUAUCAAUCUAUUGCUGGCACUCCUCUAAACAAAGAAGGGAUAAUUCAGAAAACAGUUAGCCCUAUAAAUUGAGCAGAAAGGCAAGUUUCCAGCUUUAGUGAAUACAAACCUAUAUCGUGCCCAGUCCUCCAAACCACAUUUCUGUUUCAUCACCCUUCAUCUGUAAAUUACAGAAGCACCACAGUGAUGAUGUUGCCCUGGAAAUCCCAGCAAAAAGGUCCCUUGAAUAUUGAGCAAAUACAGAAAAAGUGCUCUGGGUGAGGGUGUCCUUUCAGUCAUGGGGAGCAAGCAGAACCUGCAGGCUGCUGUGCCGUCCUCUGUCUCUUUGCAGGGCUGCGAUCGACACCCGUGGCAGCGCUGUGCAAAGGGAGGACGCUGCCUGCCCGAACAGAGAUCUUCUCAGUUUUGCCAUCAGCUUUUCUGGGGAUUUAUGUGGUUUAUGGGGAUUUCCUUUUGCAAUACCGCUAAGGAGGCACUUGGGACCCCACCAAAACUGGAGGGGAUAGAGGGAGCUAAUAAGGCCAGGUCGUCUCAGGCUAAAACAAACAACUUGUGAAACUACAAAUGUGUCAUAGUGAGACGAUAACAUUCUUCUGAGAAAAGAAGACCGAAACCUGAAAUUCAUGGGUAGGUGAAGUCAUACUCUUUUUUUUUUUCUAUUAUAGCUGCACUGAAACUCUUUUCAGUUAAGAUUAAUCUGAUAUUGUGUCAAGGUAGGCCACUGUACACAUUCAGCAGAGGUCAGAAACUAGCAUUUUACAAAAUAGAAAAUUGGAAAAAUAGACAAUUACGUGUUGCUGUUACAGUGUUUCACUGUGAUGCAAGAUUAAGGGCUCAGAAUUGAGCAGAAUGGUGCAGUAUUAUUAAAACAGAAGGACUAAUUCUCCUUAUGCAAGACUCACGGCAACACACAUCAUUGUAUAAGCCAAAGCAGGCAGUAUGAUUUCAUAGUCACACAGGGUAUUUCCACAGACAGACAACCACAAUGUGACUAAUUAGAUAUUUGCAUAUGCAUGGCCCUAUUUGCUCCCCAACUGUAAUAAUUAGGAGUAUUGCACUUCACAUUAAUUUACACUCUUGUGUAACAUCACUGAAUAUAACAUAGCGGGUGGUGAUAAACUGGCCGGUGACAAAUGGGUAAAUUUGAUACGUUUUGAAAAUCAGAGCUUUCAUAGCCAGCUUUGUCCUUGACAAAGUGGGCAGGGCUAGAGAAGACCUCCUCUGCUGUGGGACCUGAUCGUCUCUAUCACAGGCAGCCGUGUUGCACUCUUCAACUUAACAUGCAGAGACACUGGACUCCAUCUUGAAGCUACCCCUGCCAUCACCUUGCCUCUGUUUUUCUGUUCCUCUGCAUGGUUAAAGAUUUCAGAUCAUGUGUAUCAUGGCCAGCUGAACCUCUCACAUUCUGCAAGGUCUUUGACUUCAGUUUAAAGAGCAUUUCUCUCCCGGUAUAAAGUCCGUUCCUGUCUGCCCACCCUUGAGCUUUUCAGUUUACUGCCGAAACCUGCUCAGCCUGGGUUCAGCCAGACCAGCUGUGCUGUACCUGUCAUACAGAAGGGUGCUUUCCCCUGACUAUUCUUCUAACCCUCCUUUGCACCUCCACUUCCAGUAAAUCUCUUUUAAUCUGUGGGGUUAAAAGUAAGUACAGUGAUCCAGAUGAGAUGUUGCCAGUGCCUCCUGUUAUGGUGGCAUUAAUUCCUUCCCUAUGCCUCCUAGACACAAAGCAACUAAUAUUCUGAUUUUUAAUGCAUUUAUUUUUAUAUUAGACCUACCUGCUCUCAACAUUUCAAAAGCCUUAAGGAUUGACUGAAACACCAAAUUUACCCUUUUUUAAUGCAUACUGACAGCAAAACUUCUUCAUUCCUAGCUUGUGACCUUGACCUUUACACUAUCAUUCUGGUAUUGCAUGACAAGGGUGUCAAAAGGCUUUUUUAUGAAAGGGUGUCGUCACUUUCAUACAAGCCACGGGCUUCCCCUGAAUUUCCCGGCAUGUCCAGAUUUGUUUGGGAUUCUCUGCACUUUGCACGACUAUGGACGUGAGCUGGCACAUGCACACGAUACAGCACAGGGCACUGCAGGUGAGCUAGCUUGGCUCAUGAAACAGAGUUGUCUCUAGGAUUAGGUUACCUGCAGCACAUCACUGUGUGUUAGUUCAGGUAAGCCUUCCAGAAUCUGUACAGCACUUCUGACUCGCUGUCCCACACUGGCUUCAUUUGACAGCUCUGGGAGAAAGAGGCUAAAUUCUGAAAUAUUUUUACAAGAACAACAGAGGAGAUGGACUUAGUGUCUCAUUAUAUUGUUUCUAUUUCUCUUGUAGGUUAAUCUCCAGUUUACAGGUGAUGCUUGUGAAAUUGAAGGAGAAUGUACAGGAUUUGUGUGGCACUCUUGAAUAACAUGUAAAAAUAAGAAUUUUCUCUUUUGAAUCUGGAGGAUUUUGAUUGCUGUGUUUGUGGAAGUUAACUAACAUUAUGACUCUCUAAUUAAAACAAGCAAAAAUCUGUUGGUUUUA